UAAUACGUAGGGGGCAAGCGUUAUCCGGAUUCAUUGGGCGUAAAGAGCGCGUAGGCGGCUUGUUAAGCGAGAUGUGAAAACCGGGGGCUUAACCCGCGGCCUGCAUCUCGAACUGGCAGGCUUGAGUCUGGUAGAGGAGUGUGGAAUUCCCAGUGUAGCGGUGAAAUGCGCAGAUAUUGGGAGGAACACCAGUGGCGAAGGCGGCACUCUGGGCCACGACUGACGCUGAGGCGCGAAAGCUAGGGGAGCAAACAGG
Molecule: ribosomal RNA, 256 nt
Filed under: uncultured bacterium
Lineage: Bacteria
Description: partial 16S ribosomal RNA
Rfam family: Bacterial small subunit ribosomal RNA
Source: RNAcentral